ACAGUCACACAUUAGAUACCCCGGUAGUCCCAGCCGUAAACUAUGCUCGCUAGGUGUCAGGGACGGUGCGACCGUUUCUGGUGCCGCAGGGAAGCCGUGAAGCGAGCCACCUGGGAAGUACGGUCGCAAGGCUGAAACUUAAAGGAAUUGGCGGGGGAGCACUACAACGGGUGGAGCCUGCGGUUUAAUUGGAUUCAACGCCGGAAAUCUUACCGGGACCGACAGCAACAUGAAGGCCAAGCUGAAGACUUUGCCGGAUUAGCUG
RNAcentral lists this ribosomal RNA (265 nucleotides) under uncultured archaeon. RNAcentral describes it as "partial 16S ribosomal RNA". It matches the Rfam family "Archaeal small subunit ribosomal RNA", at positions 719 to 982 of the family's 1478-position model. The record is from RNAcentral.